GCGUAAGUUGAGCAGGCGGUGUGCUCAAGUGGCUGUAAACCACUCGCUUCGGCAUUGGGGGUUCGAUUCCCUUCUUACGCAC
This 82-nucleotide transfer RNA is filed under the name Streptomyces phage Tomas. RNAcentral's name for it is "tRNA-Tyr". It matches the Rfam family "tRNA". From Rfam's summary of the family: Transfer RNA (tRNA) molecules are approximately 80 nucleotides in length. Their secondary structure includes four short double-helical elements and three loops (D, anti-codon, and T loops). Lineage: Duplodnaviria; Heunggongvirae; Uroviricota; Caudoviricetes; Stanwilliamsviridae. The record is from RNAcentral.